GCAAGUGGUAGGAAUUCCCGAAAGGUGACCGGACCCUUCGGGUAGCUUGCGACAGGUGCUGCAUGGCUGUCGUCAGCUCGUGUCGUGAGAUGUUCGGUUAAGUCCGCUAACGAGCGCAACCCUCGUCGUGUGUUAUACGUGUCACACGAUACUGCCGGUAUCAAGCCGGAGGAAGGUGGGAUGAUGUCAAGUCAGCAUGGCCUUUAUAUCCUGGGCUACACACACGCUACAAUGGCAGAUACAAUAGGUCGCGAAACCGCGAGGUGGAGCCAAUCCUCAAAGUCUGUCUCAGUUCAGAUUGUAGGCUGCAACUCGCCUGCAUGAAGUCGGAGUUGCUAGUAAACGCAGGUCAGCUAUACUGCGUUGAAUACGUUCCCGGGUUU
Molecule: ribosomal RNA, 383 nt
Filed under: uncultured Leptolinea sp.
Lineage: Bacteria; Bacillati; Chloroflexota; Anaerolineae; Anaerolineales; Anaerolineaceae
Description: bacterial SSU rRNA
Rfam family: Bacterial small subunit ribosomal RNA
Source: RNAcentral